AUUGUACCUUCAGAUCAAUGCUCAGAUUGAUCGAGCCACACUCGAACCUAGACAUCUAUUUUGUUGGAUGCACUUGAUGUUGUCAUAUUAAUGCUUGGACCUAAUCAAAAUCUUCAGUGGAGGUGCCACAUGCCUGCUGAAGGGAUGCUUGAGGAAAAAUCUGAUUGCUAGAAAUUAUUUGGAGAAAUAAUUGGUUGUGAACCUACCAAUAGAUGUACUA
RNAcentral lists this long non-coding RNA (220 nucleotides) under Elaeis guineensis (African oil palm). RNAcentral describes it as "long non-coding RNA (EGUI_LNC047908)". Lineage: Eukaryota; Viridiplantae; Streptophyta; Magnoliopsida; Arecales; Arecaceae. The record is from RNAcentral.